RNAcentral lists this long non-coding RNA (1288 nucleotides) under Equus caballus (horse). RNAcentral describes it as "lncRNA (ENSECAG00000057535.1)". The record is from RNAcentral. Lineage: Eukaryota; Metazoa; Chordata; Mammalia; Perissodactyla; Equidae.
AAAGUUUGAGAAGCAUUUCCCUUCACUGUUACUCACUCCUGGCGCUCCUCACCUAGUCUUUUUUAGCACAGGAGCAGAGGGGCUAGAGACCUAGAAAUACAGUUCUUUCACAUUUAUCCCCUUCCCUACACACACAGGUAAUGCUAGCAUUUUUGAUGUGAUGGGUCAACCACUACUAGGGUUUGCUGCUGAGUCUAGCCUACCCUGACAGAUCAUUUCUUUGCAUAAAGAAAUAUUUCUUUCAAGAGGCUGAUAGCAUCCCCAACGAUUCUUUGACAGCUGAGAAGUCUUUGCCUGCACAGAGCACAGAGAAAGAAAAAAAAUUACCUCUGGGAUAGGGGCUAAAGAGAGAGAGUUUGUCAAACUCACACAAAUAGCAUUGAUGAAUCUUAGCACUGACUCAAUCAGAACACCCUGUUACAAAUUGAAGGAUAGAAGAAAUAUUCAGAAAGGAAUUACCAUAUGUGAAUAUGCUGGGUUUGGUUCGACUUUGUAAACUGUAUUGCAUUUUAUUUGAUGAGAUGGUAAAUUUUCAAUAGAAACAGAAAAUAUAAAAAUAUUAAGAUGGAAAAAAAGAAUUCACUGUGUCUCCAGUUUUUCUCUUCAUAAUGGCACAAAGUGGAAGCAAUGGACUCAAAAUAACCCAGAGGCCUGGAACACAUGGGGAAUAUAAAAUAUUGAUUUGGAAGCCUGGAAGGGCUGCCUUAAGAGCAGGUAUCAGAUAAUCAUGGAAAAGAUGAAGCAAGAAGACAAUCCACCAAGUAAAGAGAAAGCCAUACAGAAAUGGGGAUUGGGUCAGCAUGGAAAAUUUCAGUUCUCUCAUGCAAUUUAAUGACAAAGUUAAUCCUCUAGGUCCAUUGGUUCAACAUCAGGUUCUGCUGCUAUGAUCGACUUGCUGGCUCAACUCUGCAUUAUUGCCACUCUGGGACCCUGAGCUUCACAGACUCCUUCCUGAUCGCUGAGCAAUCUCACAGAUGUGGCCCAGCGUCCAAGAUGACAUUUGGACUGCUGAAGCUGACGAGGACAAAAAGAGAAACGAGGGUGGGGAAGAGAGAGAGAGAAGAAAUAUGAAGUCAGGGCUUCCGAAAUCCCACAAGCUCGUCUAUCCUUUUAAAUCCAAAAGUGAAGGAUUAUGGUUCAAGUGACUUCAAGUUGGAAUUAAAUGGUUCGAAGAAAUACGACCAUUUCAGAAAAAAACAUACUUUUUCUGAAAAGAAAAGAAGAAAUUUUUAAAUGUGUAUUUUUUUAUACAUAGUAGCCAUAAUAUUUCCUGUGAUCAGAGGAGUAU